CCCUAAGGAAGGAUCUCUUUCUGGUGAUCCCUCCUCUAUGGAGUUUCCCCUGUGAACCUAGAUUCUUGGAGAUGGCACAUUCCGAGCAGCGUGAAGAAGCAUCAAGCCCAGUGUAGGGGACGGAAAAAUGUAGAAGCUGAAAGCACUGUAAUGAAAACAGGAAGUGAAAAGCUAAGAAAGGGUUUUACUGGUCAGCUUUGUGAAUUAGAUGUUGUUGCCUGCCUCUCACAACCAUGUGGGGCCUCCAGCAUCUGCAAAGACAUAUCUGAUGGCUAUGUUUGUUUCUGUGCACCUGGUUUUAUAGGUAAUAACUGUGAGAUUGAGGUGGAUGAGUGUCUUAGUGACCCUUGUCACAGUGGAGCCACUUGCAUUGAUCAUCUGAAUGCCUUCAGUUGCAUCUGUCAGGAUGGAUU
Molecule: long non-coding RNA, 413 nt
Organism: Numida meleagris (helmeted guineafowl)
Lineage: Eukaryota; Metazoa; Chordata; Aves; Galliformes; Numididae
Exons: 4
Source: RefSeq, a predicted model, not a curated record